Molecule: ribosomal RNA, 429 nt
Filed under: Chloroflexota bacterium
Lineage: Bacteria; Bacillati; Chloroflexota
Description: Chloroflexi bacterium partial 16S ribosomal RNA
Rfam family: Bacterial small subunit ribosomal RNA
Source: RNAcentral
UGGGGAAUAUUGCACAAUGGGCGCAAGCCUGAUGCAGCCAUGCCGCGUGUAUGAAGAAGGCCUUCGGGUUGUAAAGUACUUUCAGUCGGGAGGAAGGUGUCAAGGUUAAUAACCUUGGCAAUUGACGUUACCGACAGAAGAAGCACCGGCUAACUCCGUGCCAGCAGCCGCGGUAAUACGGAGGGUGCAAGCGUUAAUCGGAAUUACUGGGCGUAAAGCGCACGCAGGCGGUUGAUUGAGUCAAAUGUGAAAUCCCCGGGCUUAACCCGGGAAUUGCAUCUGAUACUGGUCAGCUGGAGUCUUGUAGAGGGGGGGAGAAUUCCAUGUGUAGCGGUGAAAUGCGUAGAGAUGUGGAGGAAUACCGGUGGCGAAGGCGGCCCCCUGGACAAAGACUGACGCUCAGGUGCGAAAGCGUGGGGAGCAAACAGG